GGCCCAGGGGUAGCAACCCAGCCUCAGGCCGUAGCGAGCUGCGGGAAGGGAGUCUGAGGCGGCGAGGACACAAAGCACUGGGAGCAGGACUACCACUCUGACAGAGGCAGGGCUGGGGCCGCGCCCAGGAGCUGCGUGGAGCUCUCGUAUUGGCAUGAGAAACAGGCGGGGCUGAGAUAGGGCCCGCCUCUCCUCCCUCCAGCCCGAGCGCCCAGGUUCUGUCUCGCCGCCUGAAAGAGCAUUUCGCGGGCUUUCCAACUGCCCUAGGUUCCACUCCCCGCUCCCGCCUGCGGUGACUGCGCGGUUUUUGGCCCGCCCGCUAAGCUCUGCGCAGGCGCGCCGGGCAGGGGUGGGGCGCCGGGCGGCGACGUUACGGAGCGGGUGAGGCGAGCCAAUCAGAGGAUUCAUUUCCGGGUGGCGCGGGCGCCAUUUUGUGAGAAGGGCUAUAAACGGGCGCUGGGUUCGGCCGCCUAUCCAGUUGCUGCUCAGGUGCUCACAGUUGCGAAGCUAGCACGCCCGCCAGCCCGCCCCUCUUCCCGGCCUCUCCACGCGGAAAGCAGCUGCUGGGGCGCGGCGUCGCCCCCGGACCUGAGAAGACCGCUGCCUGCCUGCAGCGCGCGGGCCCGCCCAGGCCGUUAGAGUCUCGGCGCCAGUUCGCGGGGCCCCGGGCCGCCUCGAGGCCAUGAGCUACGGCCGCCCGCCUCCCGAUGUGGAGGGCAUGACCUCCCUCAAGGUGGACAACCUGACCUACCGCACCUCGCCCGACACGCUGAGGCGCGUCUUCGAGAAGUACGGGCGCGUGGGCGACGUGUACAUCCCGCGAGACCGCUACACCAAGGAGUCCCGCGGCUUCGCCUUCGUGCGCUUCCACGACAAGCGCGACGCCGAGGACGCCAUGGACGCCAUGGACGGCGCCGUGCUGGACGGGCGCGAGCUGCGGGUGCAGAUGGCGCGCUACGGCCGCCCGCCCGACUCGCACCACAGCCGCCGCGGCCCGCCGCCCCGCAGGUACGGGGGCGGCGGCUACGGCCGGCGGAGCCGCAGCCCUCGCCGCCGCCGCCGAUCGCGCUCCCGGAGUCGCAGCCGGUCCCGCUCCCGCAGCCGCUCGCGCUACAGCCGCUCCAAGUCGCGCUCCCGCACGCGCUCCCGCAGCCGCUCCACCUCCAAGUCCCGCUCGGCGCGCAGGUCCAAGUCCAAGUCGUCGUCGGUGUCCCGGUCCCGCUCCCGCUCGCGCUCCCGGUCCCGCUCCCGAAGCCCGCCGCCAGUGUCCAAGAGGGAGUCCAAGUCCCGCUCGCGGUCCAAGAGCCCGCCCAAGUCUCCGGAGGAGGAGGGCGCCGUGUCCUCGUGAGCACAUGCUGCGGUCUCCUGUUUGAUAAAAGAAUAUUGGCCAGUAUUGCAGAUUUUAACUGAUUUGGCUGAUCCUCCAGGGACCAGUUUCUGUGGGCGUGUAUUGGAGCAGGUUUGUCUUUAAACGUUAAAGAUGCACUAUCCUCUUAGAGACAAACGAUCAGUUCGACUAUUGUUGUACUGAUGGGACUUCGUAUUCUAAUGGAUGUGGCAAACGAAUUGCAAUUAAGAAGCAAUGAACUUUUUGGAACCCCAAAAGAAAGUUUAUGCAGGUAUUGCACGGGGUGGGGAAAGGAUAGUGUGUCUUUAACUCUCAAAUUGUUUGGUCCUGUUUUUUAAAAGGAAAGGGCCCUGAGUAGCUCAAUAAAGACGUUAAUCUCAAUUGCCAAAUGUUUUAUUUGAAAAUAAGUUACUUAAAGAAUACAAUAAUUUCCCGAUUUCCAGUUUUUGUUUGGAUACAGCCCUUUUUUUUAUUUUUCCUUUUUUCCCCCCCUUACCUUUUUCCACCUUGGUUAUUUGGCCAAAAAUUCAAACUUCUAAAUGCUGUUGGUAGCCUUCAAAAUUCUCUUAAUUGGGCCUUAAAGACCAAAAAAGAAAAAAAAAACCGGAUAGUGGCUGGUGGAACCUUACUGUAACCUCCUUGUUUCACCAGAGCCUUUUAGUAAGUACAUGCCUGAAACUGAAACCAUGUGCACUAUAUCUUUGUAAGUAUUGGAAGGUAAACUGAACCUUUUUCUUUUCAAACCUAGAUGUAUCCGAAAGCAGCAUAACAGAGGACUUGGGGGAAAAAAGGACUACAUACUCAGUCCAUCGGUCCAUCGAAGAGUCCUUGGAACAAGCAACUGGCUGUUGAAAAGGCGCAGUUGUGUAGCAGUUGAGUAAUGCUGGUUAGCUGUUAAGGUGGCGUGUUGCAGUGCAGAGUGCUUGGCUGUUUCCUGUUUUCUCCUGAUUGCUCCUGUGUAAAGAUGCCUUGUCGUGCAGAAACAAAUGGCUGUCCAGUUUAUUAAAAUGCCUGACAACUGCACUUCCAGUCACCCGGGCCUUGCAUAUAAAUAACGGAGCAUACAGUGAGCACAUCUAGAUGAUGAUAAAUACACCUUUAUUCCCCUGCCCCCCCACCCAUGGUAAAUCUGAUCAUCCUCAUGUAUGAACUUAAAAUAUGGAAAAUGUUAAGGAAGCAAAUGGUUUGUAACUUUGUAAGUACUUAAAAACAUGGUGUAUCGUUUUGCUUAUGAAUAUUCUGUACUAUAACCAUUGUUUCUGUAGUUUAAUUAAAAUGUUUUCUUGGUGUUAGCUUUUCUCAGAA
Marmota flaviventris (yellow-bellied marmot) is the source of this 2653-nucleotide RNA transcript. It is a transcript of the gene named serine and arginine rich splicing factor 2, with no coding region annotated. The record is from RefSeq and is a predicted model, not a curated record. NCBI's taxonomy places the organism in Eukaryota, Metazoa, Chordata, Mammalia, Rodentia, Sciuridae.